Talpa occidentalis (Iberian mole) is the source of this 190-nucleotide small nuclear RNA. RefSeq annotates it as U2 spliceosomal RNA. NCBI's taxonomy places the organism in Eukaryota, Metazoa, Chordata, Mammalia, Eulipotyphla, Talpidae. The transcript has a single exon. The record is from RefSeq and is a predicted model, not a curated record.
AUAAUUAAAGGCCUUUUAGCUAAGAUCAAGUGUCCUAUCUGUCCUUACAAGUUUAAUAUCUGAUAUGUCUUCUGUGGACAAUAUAGUAUUUGAAUGUUGGGAAUUAGAAGAUGGAAUAGAAAUUUGUUCCAUCCACUCCAAUCAUCGACCUAGUUGGUAUUAGAGUGCAUCCAAGAAUGGUGUGUCUCUC